UACGGAGGGAGCUAGCGUUAUUCGGAAUUACUGGGCGUAAAGCACACGUAGGCGGCUUUGUAAGUUAGAGGUGAAAGCCUGGAGCUCAACUCCAGAAUUGCCUUUAAGACUGCAUCGCUUGAAUCCAGGAGAGGUGAGUGGAAUUCCGAGUGUAGAGGUGAAAUUCGUAGAUAUUCGGAAGAACACCAGUGGCGAAGGCGGCUCACUGGACUGGUAUUGACGCUGAGGUGCGAAAGCGUGGGGAGCAAACAGG
Molecule: ribosomal RNA, 253 nt
Filed under: uncultured bacterium
Lineage: Bacteria
Description: partial 16S ribosomal RNA
Rfam family: Bacterial small subunit ribosomal RNA
Source: RNAcentral